RNAcentral lists this ribosomal RNA (253 nucleotides) under uncultured bacterium. Its description in RNAcentral is "partial 16S ribosomal RNA". It matches the Rfam family "Bacterial small subunit ribosomal RNA", at positions 524 to 776 of the family's 1533-position model. The record is from RNAcentral.
UACGAGGGGGGCAAGCGUUGUUCGGAAUUAUUGGGCGUAAAGCGCGCGCAGGCGGUCCUUUAAGUCUGAUGUGAAAGCCCACGGCUCAACCGUGGAGGGUCAUUGGAAACUGGGGGACUUGAGUGCAGAAGAGGAAAGCGGAAUUCCACGUGUAGCGGUGAAAUGCGUAGAGAUGUGGAGGAACACCAGUGGCGAAGGCGGCUUUCUGGUCUGUAACUGACGCUGAGGCGCGAAAGCGUGGGGAGCAAACAGG